Molecule: long non-coding RNA, 404 nt
Organism: Triticum dicoccoides
Lineage: Eukaryota; Viridiplantae; Streptophyta; Magnoliopsida; Poales; Poaceae
Exons: 3
Source: RefSeq, a predicted model, not a curated record
CCGAGGCGGAGCUCCAGGCCAUCGAGGUCGCGUACGCCGCCGAGUCCGGCAAGCGCCGCCAACUCCCAGACUGGUCCAAGGCACCCGCCCCCGCCUCCGUCUGCCCAUAGCCCAACCCAGUCCCCUCGCCCCCCUCCUGCCAAGUGGACUUCACAUUCCAAAGGAGGGACAGAAUCUGGAGUAAUUGAUUAUUUCCAAAAUCUGGAGUAAUCUUCUCAAGUUACAUGAUCAGUUGUGCUUGACUGAAAAUUUUCACAGGAAAAUUUUGACUGGAGUAACAGAGGCAUAACAGUACAAAUUACAGGCGAAUGUGGAUGUUGCACACUAUUGUGAAGGUGUAGCACUGCCCAAUUAAAUUUCCACUUCACAUAUCUACUUCAAUUUCUACUACAAAUUCACCUUUU